RNAcentral lists this transfer RNA (75 nucleotides) under Sphaerodactylus townsendi. Its description in RNAcentral is "tRNA-Thr". It matches the Rfam family "tRNA". From Rfam's summary of the family: Transfer RNA (tRNA) molecules are approximately 80 nucleotides in length. The record is from RNAcentral. Lineage: Eukaryota; Metazoa; Chordata; Lepidosauria; Squamata; Sphaerodactylidae.
GGAGAGGGUGUGACUUAAUGGCACAGCAUCUGCUUUGUAUGCAGACGGUCCCAGUUUCAAUCCCUGGCAUCUCCA